RNAcentral lists this transfer RNA (72 nucleotides) under Armatimonas rosea. It matches the Rfam family "tRNA". From Rfam's summary of the family: Transfer RNA (tRNA) molecules are approximately 80 nucleotides in length. Their secondary structure includes four short double-helical elements and three loops (D, anti-codon, and T loops). Further hydrogen bonds mediate the characteristic L-shaped molecular structure. tRNAs have two regions of fundamental functional importance: the anti-codon, which is responsible for specific mRNA codon recognition, and the 3' end, to which the tRNAs corresponding amino acid is attached (by aminoacyl-tRNA synthetases). tRNAs cope with the degeneracy of the genetic code in two manners: having more than one tRNA (with a specific anti-codon) for a particular amino acid; and 'wobble' base-pairing, i.e. permitting non-standard base-pairing at the 3rd anti-codon position. Lineage: Bacteria; Bacillati; Armatimonadota; Armatimonadia; Armatimonadales; Armatimonadaceae. The record is from Rfam by way of RNAcentral.
GCGCCUGUGGUGUAGCGGUCAACAUCUCAGACUGUCGCUCUGAAGAGGCGGGUUCGAUUCCCGUCAGGCGCG